GCUAGCGUAGCUUAAUUAAAGCAUGACACUGAAGAUGUUAAGAUGGGGCCUAAUAAGUCCCGAGAGCA
This 68-nucleotide transfer RNA is filed under the name Harpadon nehereus (Bombay duck fish). RNAcentral describes it as "tRNA-Phe". The record is from RNAcentral. Lineage: Eukaryota; Metazoa; Chordata; Actinopteri; Aulopiformes; Synodontidae.